This is a long non-coding RNA of Peromyscus eremicus (cactus mouse), 638 nucleotides long. RefSeq lists it as uncharacterized. NCBI's taxonomy places the organism in Eukaryota, Metazoa, Chordata, Mammalia, Rodentia, Cricetidae. The record is from RefSeq and is a predicted model, not a curated record. The transcript has 4 exons.
GCUUCACUACCAAGAAAUGCUCUGCGCAUUGUGCUGUGAUAUACCGUGUUCUUAGGUCCUAACUAAGAAAGGAAGAAAGAAGCAUCCCUAGUUUUAAAUAACUUUGUGUCAAGGAAGUCACCCCAGAAAGUCUCUACGGAAUAAUCAGCGAUGAAAUCCACUCUCUCUGACAUCUGUUCAAACUUUCUGUUGGGUCUGCAGAAAAUUCACAUCAUGGCCUUUAUUAUAUAAUGUAUGAUAUAAUACGGAUCCCAAAUCGGAAGGUGAUUGCUGAUUUGGUGUCUGUGCCUCAAGAACUUUCAAAAGCCAGCCACCCAACAGGGAAAGUCUGCAACUAGAUACACUCAACAAGCACUCAUGGAAGCCAAAAAAAUGGACUGAUGGGCUCUGGAAUAUAGCAGUGGGCAGAACCAAGGCGGCCCUGCCUUCUUAAAGUGGCCAUUCAUUAAGGACAGACAGGCAUCUACCGUGGCCAGCCACCAGUGCCGCCGUAUACCCGCGGUAUUCAACACCGACCAAACCUCGGCUGCUGCGAUAGCCGUGCCAGCCAUGAGCACUGCCGCUAUGCCCCUUCAGCCUUGGCUCGGCAACAUUCCAACUGUCUCCACCACGGACUUCUAAUCAGUCUCUAUCAAUCU